UACGGAGGGGGCUAGCGUUGUUCGGAAUUACUGGGCGUAAAGCGCGCGUAGGCGGGCUGGUUAGUUGGGGGUGAAAUCCCAGGGCUUAACCCUGGAACUGCCCUCAAUACUGCCAGUCUUGAGUUCGAGAGAGGUAAGUGGAAUUCCUAGUGUAGAGGUGAAAUUCGUAGAUAUUAGGAAGAACACCAGUGGCGAAGGCGGCUUACUGGCUCGAUACUGACGCUGAGGCGCGAAAGCGUGGGGAGCAAACAGGAUUAGAUACCCGCGUA
Molecule: ribosomal RNA, 269 nt
Filed under: uncultured prokaryote
Description: partial 16S ribosomal RNA
Rfam family: Bacterial small subunit ribosomal RNA
Source: RNAcentral